CACCGUUGCCAUGCCAAAGCUCCCACACCUCUCAUGCAUGGGCAGAGGGUUCAUGGCCACGGCAGCAGCCGCCCACGUUCGCCGCCGCAUCCACCACUCACCACCCGAUCGAUGGGGAGCACCGGAGCAGAGCAGAGAGCAGCGCGCGCGCGAACCCUAAAAGCCUUCGGUCGACCUGUAUGGAUCGGAUCAGCCGGAGCGCGAGCGUCCAGCCUGCCACGCCUGGGCUGGUGCGCGCGCGGGCCCACCUCCCCGCUAUAAAGCGGGACCGCCGCGCGCGGCAUCGUCAGGAGCAGGAAUCUACCGGACGGAGGAUCCGUAGUUCCCUCCAAGGUGUUUCUGACCAGAUCUAUUUAUUACUAGUACCACUACUCAGUUCUUCCCCUACCGUACUCUGUCUCUUCUUUCCUUUCCAGGCUUACUGUUAGGCUCGAGAGCCGAUCCACAAACGGCGCCGCGUGUGUCAGGGAUAAGAUGAGCUCAGCAAGAGGCAGAGUGGAGGAGGAGGUGAGGAAAGAGCAAGGAAAGGCACAAUACGGUGGCACGGUCGGCAGAUCUAUCCCGGCCUGCCGCCGUUUCCGCACUACCAUGCAUGUCAUCAGGAUUGUGUCUCCAUCGGUGGUGGUCUGGUGGACAUCGAUCCCUGGAGAAUGGCUUGAACCUUUCAUUUGCGUGAUUCUAGCAUAGACAUCUGAAUAUCUGAUGGUUAGUGAAAGGCUGGAUACCAUCAUAUAUACGUGUCAUAUGCCAUUUGAAGUGUGCCAUACUAAAAUUGUAGUCCCAGGAGUAUUAUGCUUUGGCUGUAAUUAAACUUUAAAUAGUGUUCUGUACAUAUGUAUUACAGUGCCUCAUUGUCUCACACAUGGGCUAUCAGGGUAGCCCCGACCAUAUAUGGAUGAAGGAGAGGAAGAAAACUAUGUAUAAAAGAUAUAUAGAGGAUCAGAGGGAGAAGAAAAAGAGAGGAAGAAAGAGAAAGAAAAGGAGAAGAAAAUUGUGUAUGAUGUUACUAUUCAGAUUUAUUCAUGGUCAGCUAUUCAGAGAUUGAUGCAUGGUCAUGUAGCCCUUUCAUAUUCUACCACAUAACAAGAGAUUCACAAUCAAAUAAAGCUUACCAGGACUGCUAGGUAUCGAAUCUUAGGGCAUAGCUACUCAAGUUUG
RNA transcript from Zea mays, 1158 nucleotides. RefSeq lists it as uncharacterized. The record is from RefSeq and is marked validated. The transcript is spliced from 3 exons. Lineage: Eukaryota; Viridiplantae; Streptophyta; Magnoliopsida; Poales; Poaceae.